RNAcentral lists this ribosomal RNA (324 nucleotides) under Priestia megaterium. RNAcentral's name for it is "Bacillus megaterium partial 16S ribosomal RNA". It matches the Rfam family "Bacterial small subunit ribosomal RNA", at positions 708 to 1027 of the family's 1533-position model. The record is from RNAcentral. Lineage: Bacteria; Bacillati; Bacillota; Bacilli; Caryophanales; Bacillaceae.
ACCAGUGGCGAAGGUUUCUUUUUGGUCUGUAACUGACACUGACGCGCGAAAGCGUGGGGAGCAAACAGGAUUAGAUACCCUGGCAGCCCCCGCCGUAAACGAUGAGUGCUAUGUGUUAGAGGCCUUCCCGCCCUUUUAGUGCUGCAGCUAACGCAUUACCCCCUCCGCCUGGGGAGCACGGUCGCUAGACUGAAACUCAAAGGAUUUGACGGGGCCCCCCACAAGCGGUGUAUCUUGUGUUUUAUUUCGAAGCAACGCGAAAAACCUUACCAGGUCUUGACAUCCUGGGACAACUCUAGAGAUACACCGUCCCCCUCCGGGGGA